GACGAACGCUGGCGGCGUGCUUAACACAUGCAAGUCGAACGGUGAAGGGAAGCUUGCUUCCCGGAUCAGUGGCGAACGGGUGAGUAACACGUGGGCAAUCUGCCCCAGACUUUGGGAUAACUACUCGAAAGAGUAGCUAAUACCGAAUAUUCAGCCUUGCAGGCAUCUGCGAGGCUGGAAAGUUUCUCGGUCUGGGAUGGGCCCGCGGCCUAUCAGCUAGUUGGUGAGGUAAUGGCUCACCAAGGCGACGACGGGUAGCCGGCCUGAGAGGGCGACCGGCCACACUGGGACUGAGACACGGCCCAGACUCCUACGGGAGGCAGCAGUGGGGAAUAUUGCGCAAUGGGCGAAAGCCUGACGCAGCAACGCCGCGUGCGGGAUGAAGGCCUCGGUGUAACCGCUUCAGCAGGAAGAAGCGAAAGUGACGGUACCUGCAGAAGAAGACACCGG
This 450-nucleotide ribosomal RNA is filed under the name uncultured bacterium. RNAcentral's name for it is "bacterial SSU rRNA". It matches the Rfam family "Bacterial small subunit ribosomal RNA", at positions 28 to 497 of the family's 1533-position model. The record is from RNAcentral.